This 490-nucleotide ribosomal RNA is filed under the name uncultured bacterium. RNAcentral's name for it is "partial 16S ribosomal RNA". It matches the Rfam family "Bacterial small subunit ribosomal RNA", at positions 30 to 507 of the family's 1533-position model. The record is from RNAcentral.
AUUGAACGCUGGCGGCAGGCCUAACACAUGCAAGUCGAACGGUAACAGGAAGAAGCUUGCUUCUUUGCUGACGAGUGGCGGACGGGUGAGUAAUGUCUGGGAAACUGCUUGAUGGAGGGGGAUAACUACUGGAAACGGUAGCUAAUACCGCAUAACGUCGCAAGGCCAAAGAGGGGGACCUUAGGGCCUCUUGCCAUCGGAUGAGCCCAGAUGGGAUUAGCUAGUAGGUGGGGUAACGGCUCACCUAGGCGACGAUCCCUAGCUGGUCUGAGAGGAUGACCGGCCACACUGGAACUGAGACACGGUCCAGACUCCUACGGGAGGCAACAGUAGGGAAUAUUGCGCAAUGGGCGCAAGCCUGAUGCAGCCAUGCCGCGUGUGUGAAGAAGGCCUUCGGCUUGUAAAGUACUUUUAGCGGGGAGGAACGGAUUUAAAUUAAUACCUUAGCUCAUUGACGUUACCCGCACAAGAAGCACCGGCUAACUCCGUG